AUUGAACGCUGGCGGCAUGCCUUACACAUGCAAGUCGAACGGUAACAGGUUAAGCUGACGAGUGGCGAACGGGUGAGUAAUGUAUCGGAACGUGCCCAGUCGUGGGGGAUAACGUAGCGAAAGCUACGCUAAUACCGCAUACGAUCUACGGAUGAAAGCGGGGGAUCGCAAGACCUCGCGCGAUUGGAGCGGCCGAUAUCAGAUUAGGUUGUUGGUGAGGUAAAAGCUCACCAAGCCUGCGAUCUGUAGCUGGUCUGAGAGGACGACUAGCCACACUGGAACUGGGACACGGUCCAGACUCCUACGGGAGGCAGCAGUGGGGAAUUUUGGACAAUGGACGCAAGUCUGAUCCAGCAAUGCCGCGUGCAGGACGAAGGCCUUCGGGUUGUAAACUGCUUUUGUACGGAACGAAACGGUGAGCUCUAAUACAGUUUGCUAAUGACGGUACCGUAAGAAUAAGCACCGGCUAACUACGUGCCAGCCGCCGCAGUAA
This 493-nucleotide ribosomal RNA is filed under the name uncultured bacterium. RNAcentral describes it as "partial 16S ribosomal RNA". It matches the Rfam family "Bacterial small subunit ribosomal RNA", at positions 30 to 523 of the family's 1533-position model. The record is from RNAcentral.